AGAGUUUGAUCCUGGCUCAGGAUGAACGCUAGCGGCAGGCCUAAUACAUGCAAGUCGAACGGAGGUAGCCCUCGGGCUGCCUUAGUGGCAAACGGGUGCGUAACGCGUAAGCAACCUGCCCACAACCGGGGGAUAGCCUGGCGAAAGCCGUGGUAAACCCCCAUAAUUCCCUUGUCCCACCUGGGGUGGGGGGUAAACAUUGAUGGGUUGUGGAGGGGCUUGCGUCUGAUUAGGUAGUUGGCGGGGUAGUGGCCCACCAAGCCAUUGAUCAGUAGGGGUUCUGAGAGGAUUGGCCCCCACAUGGGUACUGAGAUACGGACCCAACUCCUACGGGAGGCAGCAGUAGGGAAUAUUGGGCAAUGGGCGCAAGCCUGACCCAGCCAUGCCGCGUGGAGGAUGAAGGCGCUCAGCGUCGUAAACUCCUUUUAUCUACGAAGAACGUGAUCCUUGCGAGGGUACUUGACGGUAGUAGAGGAAUAAGCACCGGCUAACUCCGUGCCAGCAGCCGCGGUAAUACGGAGGGUGCAAGCGUUGCCCGGAUUUAUUGGGUUUAAAGGGUGCGUANGUGGCGUCUUAAGUCUGGUGUGAAAGCAGGCAGCUCAACCGUGUGAUGUGGCUGGAAACUGGGGCGCCUGAAUGAGUUGGCGGUACCCGGAACGGGUAUGUACCGGUGGAAUGCAUAGAUUUGACCCGGANCACCGAUUGCGAAGGCAGGGCUA
RNAcentral lists this ribosomal RNA (719 nucleotides) under uncultured bacterium. RNAcentral's name for it is "bacterial SSU rRNA". It matches the Rfam family "Bacterial small subunit ribosomal RNA", at positions 8 to 728 of the family's 1533-position model. The record is from RNAcentral.